AUAUCUCUCUGUACGGGAAGGAUGAGAAGCUUCGACCAAGGUUCGAUUCGAACGCAGCGAGAAAGCGUUGCCGCAGGCAACGACCCGAAGGGCGAAGCGCGCAGCGCUGAGUCAUCCUUCCCCCACCACCA
This 131-nucleotide small RNA is filed under the name Salmonella enterica. Its description in RNAcentral is "RtT sRNA". It matches the Rfam family "RtT RNA". From Rfam's summary of the family: This family represents a bacterial cis-regulatory element known as RtT RNA. The exact function of RtT is unknown although it is thought that it may be involved in changing the cellular response in relation to amino acid starvation. RNAcentral also lists the same sequence under 4 other names. The record is from RNAcentral. Lineage: Bacteria; Pseudomonadati; Pseudomonadota; Gammaproteobacteria; Enterobacterales; Enterobacteriaceae.